This 67-nucleotide transfer RNA is filed under the name marine eukaryotic metagenome. It matches the Rfam family "tRNA". Rfam says of the family: Transfer RNA (tRNA) molecules are approximately 80 nucleotides in length. Their secondary structure includes four short double-helical elements and three loops (D, anti-codon, and T loops). The record is from RNAcentral.
CGGGUGUAGCACAGUGGUAGUGCUCUAGCCUUCCAAGCUAGCCACGUGGGUUCGAUUCCCAUCACCC